RNAcentral lists this long non-coding RNA (221 nucleotides) under Zalophus californianus (California sea lion). RNAcentral describes it as "lncRNA (ENSZCAG00015015844.1)". The record is from RNAcentral. Lineage: Eukaryota; Metazoa; Chordata; Mammalia; Carnivora; Otariidae.
GCACCCUUCACUUUCCCUGACAAUGCUCUUAACUCCAGACCUUUCCCAGAAGGUGGAGGCCCGGAGCUGUUUCCCAUACCCAUGGAGCUCUACUCUGCCCCCAGGGAAAAAGCCGUUCGGGGUGUUAGCAGUUUCUUCGGCUCCUGGGGAACAGCCACCUGUUUUCCAUCCAAUAGAUCUGCCCGUGGUGCGGCUGGCGGCCGGGAGGAGCAGGUGCGAGG